GGAUAUAGUACAGCUCAGUAGUAGAGUGUGUGUUUAGCAUGCACAAGGUCCUGAGUUCAAUCCCCAGUACCUCCA
Molecule: non-coding RNA, 75 nt
Organism: Camelus ferus (Wild Bactrian camel)
Lineage: Eukaryota; Metazoa; Chordata; Mammalia; Artiodactyla; Camelidae
Source: Rfam